AAAGAGCGCGCAGACGGCUAGCUAAGUUGGAGGUUAAAGCUCCCGGCUCAACUGGGAGAGGUCCUUCAAAACCUGGUUAGCUAGAGGGCAGGAGAGGGACGUGGAAUUUCGGGUGGAGUAGUGAAAUGCGUAGAUAUCCGAAGGAACACCAGUGGCGAAGGCGGCGUCCUGGACUGCACCUGACGCUCAGGCGCGAAAGCUAGGGUAGCGAACGGGAUUAGAAACCCCGGUAGUCCUAGCCGUAAACGAUGAACACUAGAUGUCGUGGGUUAACGCUCACGGUGUCGCAGUUAACGCGAUAAGUGUUCCGCCUGGGGAUUACGACCGCAAGGUUAAAACUCAAAGGAAUUGACGGGAGCCCGCACAAGCAGUGGAGCGUGUGGUUUAAUUCGAGGCUACACGAAGAACCUUACCUGGGCUUGACAUGAUGGUGGUAGGGAACCGAGAGGGGACCGACCUUCGGGAGCCAUCACAGGUGCUGCAUGGCUGUCGUCAGCUCGUGUCGUGAGAUGUUCGGUUAAGUCCGGUAACGAGCGCAACCCUCGUCGUUAGUUAUACGUGUCUAACGAGACUGCCUGUGAUAAGCAGGAGGAAGGCGGGGAUGACGUCAAGUCAGCAUGGCCCUUACGUCCAGGGCUACACACACGCUACAAUGGUCGGUACAAUGGGUCGCCAAGCCGUGAGGCGGAGCCAAUCCUCCAAAGCCGACCUCAGUUCGGAUUGCAGGCUGCAACUCGCCUGCAUGAAGCUGGAAUUGCUAGUAACCGCAGGUCAGCUAUACUGCGGUGAAUACGUUCCCGGGCUUUGUACACACCGCCCGUCACGUCAUGGAAGCUGGUCACGCCCGAAGAUGGUGGGCUAACCGCAAGGAGGCAGCCAUUUAAGGCAGGGCCAGUAACUGGGACGAAGUCGUA
This 914-nucleotide ribosomal RNA is filed under the name uncultured organism. Its description in RNAcentral is "bacterial SSU rRNA". It matches the Rfam family "Bacterial small subunit ribosomal RNA", at positions 562 to 1490 of the family's 1533-position model. The record is from RNAcentral.